ACGCUGGCGGCAUGCUUUACACAUGCAAGUCGGACGGCAGCACAGAGAAGCUUGCUUCUUGGGUGGCGAGUGGCGAACGGGUGAGUAAUAUAUCGGAACGUACCGAGUAAUGGGGGAUAACUAAUCGAAAGAUUAGCUAAUACCGCAUAUUCUCUGAGGAGGAAAGCAGGGGACCUUCGGGCCUUGCGUUAUUUGAGCGGCCGAUAUCUGAUUAGCUAGUUGGUGGGGUAAAGGCCUACCAAGGCGACGAUCAGUAGCGGGUCUGAGAGGAUGAUCCGCCACACUGGGACUGAGACACGGCCCAGACUCCUACGGGAGGCAGCAGUGGGGAAUUUUGGACAAUGGGCGCAAGCCUGAUCCAGCCAUGCCGCGUGUCUGAAGAAGGCCUUCGGGUUGUAAAGGACUUUUGUCAGGGAAGAAAAGGCUGUUGCUAAUAUCGACAGCUGAUGACGGUACCUGAAGAAUAAGCACCGGCUAACUACGUGCCAGCAGCCGCGGUAAUACGUAGGGUGCGAGCGUUAAUCGGAAUUACUGGGCGUAAAGCGAGCGCAGACGGUUACUUAAGCAGGAUGUGAAAUCCCCGGGCUUAACCUGGGAACUGCGUUCUGAACUGGGUGACUGGAGUGUGUCAGAGGGAGGUAGAAUUCCACGUGUAGCAGUGAAAUGCGUAGAGAUGUGGAGGAAUACCGAUGGCGAAGGCAGCCUCCUGGGAUAACACUGACGUUCAUGCUCGAAAGCGUGGGUAGCAAACAGGAUUAGAUACCCUGGUAGUCCACGCCCUAAACGAUGUCAAUUAGCUGUUGGGCAACUUGAUUGCUUAGUAGCGUAGCUAACGCGUGAAAUUGACCGCCUGGGGAGUACGGUCGCAAGAUUAAAACUCAAAGGAAUUGACGGGGACCCGCACAAGC
This 908-nucleotide ribosomal RNA is filed under the name uncultured bacterium. RNAcentral's name for it is "bacterial SSU rRNA". It matches the Rfam family "Bacterial small subunit ribosomal RNA", at positions 33 to 930 of the family's 1533-position model. The record is from RNAcentral.